RNAcentral lists this ribosomal RNA (253 nucleotides) under uncultured bacterium. RNAcentral's name for it is "partial 16S ribosomal RNA". It matches the Rfam family "Bacterial small subunit ribosomal RNA", at positions 524 to 776 of the family's 1533-position model. The record is from RNAcentral.
UACAGAGGUCUCAAGCGUUGUUCGGAUUCAUUGGGCGUAAAGGGCGCGUAGGCGGCUUAUCAAGUCAGGCGUGAAAUUCCCGGGCUCAACCUGGGGGCUGCGCUUGAUACUGAUUGGCUUGAAUGCGGGAGAGGAUAGUGGAAUUCCCAGUGUAAAGGUGAAAUUCGUAGAUAUUGGGAAGAACACCGGUGGCGAAGGCGGCUAUCUGGCCCGUAAUUGACGCUGAGGCGCGAAAGCCAGGGGAGCAAACGGG